UGGGGAAUAUUGGACAAUGGGCGCAAGCCUGAUCCAGCCAUGCCGCGUGAGUGAUGAAGGCCCUAGGGUUGUAAAGCUCUUUCGCACGCGACGAUAAUGACGGUAGCGUGAGAAGAAGCCCCGGCUAACUUCGUGCCAGCAGCCGCGGUAAUACGAAGGGGGCUAGCGUUGUUCGGAAUCACUGGGCGUAAAGGGCGCGUAGGCGGCCGAUCAAGUCGGGGGUGAAAGCCUGUGGCUCAACCACAGAAUUGCCUUCGAUACUGUUUGGCUUGAGACCGGAAGAGGUUAGUGGAACUGCGAGUGUAGAGGUGAAAUUCGUAGAUAUUCGCAAGAACACCAGUGGCGAAGGCGGCUGACUGGUCCGGUUCUGACGCUGAGGCGCGAAAGCGUGGGGAGCAAAC
RNAcentral lists this ribosomal RNA (401 nucleotides) under uncultured bacterium. RNAcentral describes it as "bacterial SSU rRNA". It matches the Rfam family "Bacterial small subunit ribosomal RNA", at positions 355 to 773 of the family's 1533-position model. The record is from RNAcentral.